Molecule: long non-coding RNA, 548 nt
Filed under: Rattus norvegicus (Norway rat)
Lineage: Eukaryota; Metazoa; Chordata; Mammalia; Rodentia; Muridae
Description: long non-coding RNA NONRATT007759
Source: RNAcentral
GUGGCUUCUGUCUGGGAUUAGGCAGCAGUGAAGAUGGAGACAAGGACUAGGUGGCCGUGGACACGCUCUCCUAGCCAGCCUCGCUCCUGCCUGUGCACCUGAGCAACGACAUCGACUCCAUGCUGACUGGCACCAGACAGGGAAUGAAAGCUCAGGAGUGAUGGAGAACUGGGCCAGCAAGCCAGCUCCCUCUGCCGCGCUCGCCUGGGCCGCUCCUGACUAGAUGUGCUCUCGUGCUGGGCAUCCUGUUGAGGUGGUCACACUGCCACACUGCUCUGGCACAUGAGUGUUGGAGGACCUGUGCACCUCAGGCCGUAGGUCUGUCUGCUGUGUGGAUGUCCACCUCACCACACCUGUGCCUCCAGUCUGGGCAUGGUGCCACAGAAGGGCGCACCAGGGGAAUGCUCAUAAGUGAGCCAUAUUUAUUGUCUUUAAGAAAAUCACUAAUGCUCUUUGACUGCACUGUGGGUGAGUGUUCUGAGCUCCCAGUAUUGUAGAGCAUCGUAAAUUAUCCGAGGAAAAGAUGGCGGGCCAAGCUGGUGCUGUCC